CACGCAAAAAUAAAGUUUCCCUCCCUGCUCUCUCUCUCUAUCACCCAGUCUACUCAUCCAUCUUCAAGCUUUCAUCCCUUCCCUGCUCUUCUAUCACCCUCUCAGUUCCACCUCCAACUGGCUCACUCUUUUUCUUCUUCUCCAGUCUCUUCCUCUCCUCUUUCCUCAUCUUUUCUCUCUUCUUCUCCUCCUUUUCUUGAAUCUUUCUCUCCAUCUCCAGGAACUCAGCUUGAGCUUUCUCUCUCUUUUUCAGCUCAUCAGAACACUUCUUCUCUUUCUUAAUCCUGUCUUUCAUCAUGUCAUUAUGUAUCUUCAUCAGCCCCUCUAACCUCUUUUUCUCUGCCUUGUCCUCCUCUUUUCUUUCCUUCUCUCUCUUUUUCUGUUCUAACUUCUCCCUCUUUUUCUCAGCCUUCAUGACUUUCUUCUGCUCUUUCUCUCUCUCUUUCAUCUCUUUCUUCUCCCUCUUUUUUUGCUCCUCCUCCUUGUUUUUCAUCUCCUUUCUCUCUUUCUCGUCAUCUUUCAACUUCUUAUUCAGUUUCUUACUUUCCCCUUUUCUAUCCAUCUUCAAAAAUGGGAUUUUCUGCAUGUGGUUCCUGACCAGAAAGCCCACUCUUCCCAGGAUGGUCUCUGCUCUCUCUGAUGAAACCAUCCCAUUGGAGCUCUUGGAAUGGGCACAGUCCGCAUCACACUUCAACCCCUCCCUCGGUCUCACCUCCUCCUGGACGCUCCUCUCUUCACUCUCAAUGUCAAUGCCUAUCCAAUAAUCCUGACAGGAAGACAUUGAUUCUAGAUGUAAUAUUGUUCCAAUGUGGCACAUUCAAUACACAUUUGAGUGAUCAACAUACAAUGAUGGCCUCAUGGGGCACACAAUUUGGAGGACAGUAAUUAAGGUCAUUUGUUUUUUUUGUAUCCCCAUUAUAUUUUACAAAACCCAUAAAUGUUAACCCUAGUGAGGGGUGAUGUUUCAUACUAUGAGCAAAGAGCAGCAAGUUUGGGUCAAUUCCAGUCUAUUCAAGAAGAACUCUAAAAUUCCAAUUCUCUUCAAUGCUUUGAAUUGAAAUGGAACUGACCCCCAACCCUGUAAAGUAGUAGUGUAAAAUAGGACACCUACCUUUGUCUCUUCCAGGGUCCAGGUCCUGGGUUCAUCAUUGUGGGUUGACAGAGUUAAGUUAGCAUCUGGGUCCAGCUGGUGAGCGUGAGGGCAGAGAUACACCUCCUUAGUAGUGCCCCUCCCUUUCUGAUUUGGAUCAUUGUGGUCUUUGUCAUGGAUGCAUGCCAGGCUUGGAUGAAGUGCUAGGACAGGGUUUUUAUCACCUAUCAGUUCCUCUCUCUUGACAGUGGAUGAAACUGCACUUUCCUCUGUGUCAACUAAGCGCUCUGUGUUGUCCUCAACUGUCUCCCAUAGCUGUUUGUGGUCAAUGCUGUGGGUACAGGGCAGCCUUAGAGGCAGUGCUGCGGGUGCAGGAGGACUUUUACCAGCCAAAAACUCCUCUUGGAGGACAGUGGACACGGAAGCGGCUGCUUCACUGGCAACUGGACACUUGCUGGUGCCCUCUACUGCCUCCUCUGGCAGUUUGUAGUCAUUGUCAAAGACAAGUGGCAGACUUGAAGGCAGCACUGAG
Molecule: long non-coding RNA, 1622 nt
Filed under: Salmo salar (Atlantic salmon)
Lineage: Eukaryota; Metazoa; Chordata; Actinopteri; Salmoniformes; Salmonidae
Description: lncRNA (ENSSSAG00000109592.1)
Source: RNAcentral